CCGCCCUCCACCCUCCCCGACUGCAGGCCGAGUCCCGUAGCAUCCGGUAGGGAAAUGGUCGUGCUUUUGGUCCCCGCCGAAGUCACCGUGAUCCUGUUAGAUAUCGAAGGUACCACAACCCCGCUUGCUUUCGUGAAGGACAUUUUAUUUCCUUACAUAGAAGAAAAUGUUAAAGAGGAUCUGCAGAUACAUUGGGAAGAAGAGGAGUGCCAGCAGGCUGUCAGUCUUUUGAGGAAACAGGCUGAAGAGGACGCCCACCUGGAUGGGGCUGUUCCUAUCCCUGCAGCGUCUGGGAAUGGAGUGGAUGAUCUGCAGCAGAUGAUCCAGGCCGUGGUAGAUAAUGUGUGCUGGCAGAUGUCCCUGGAUCGAAAGACUACUGCACUCAAACAGCUGCAGGGCCACAUAUGGAGGGCGGCAUUCACAGCUGGGCGCAGGAAAGCAGAGUUCUUUGCAGAUGUAGUUCCAGCAGUCAGGAAAUGGAGAGAGGCCGGAAUGAAGGUGUACAUCUAUUCCUCAGGGAGUGUGGAGGCACAGAAACUCUUAUUUGGGCACUCUACGGAGGGAGAUAUUCUUGAGCUUGUCGAUGGUCACUUUGAUACCAAGAUUGGACGCAAAGUGGAGAGUGAAAGUUACCGAAAGAUUGCAGACAGCAUUGGAUGCUCAACCAACAACAUUUUGUUUCUGACAGAUGUUACUCGAGAGGCCAGUGCUGCUGAGGAAGCAGAUGUGCACGUAGCUGUGGUGGUGAGACCAGGCAACGCAGGAUUAACAGAUGAUGAGAAGACUUACUACAACCUCAUCAUAUCCUUCAGCGAACUAUACCUGCCUUCCUCAACCUAGAGAAGGGUUGCUAAGGCAGACCGCACUGUUCCCAGAGUUGUCCCUGUAGUGUCUAGGUUUAUUCUAAUGGUAAAAGUAACUUACUUAAAAAACAUACAUGUACACAUAAUAUGCAAGUAUGUAUAUAUGUGUAUGCUCAAAUUAACUUCCACAGGUACAUAAGCGAAAGAAGUCUCAGUUCAGUGAACACAAAACUUAUUUAAAGAUGUUUUAUAUGUAGAAAUUGUUUGAAAUCAUACUCUAACCCUUAGUGAGAGCGAAGUGUAGUUGAUAGAAGAAAUUGCUAAAAACCAAUCUAAUGUGCUAUGUUUAUCAAGUCAUGUACUAAAAUGGAAAGCUAGUUUUGAGAGAUUAUUCAGAAGCCUUGUUAUUUUAAAAAUGAAAUAUUUCAAAGACUUUUUUCUAAUAAUAAUUCAUUGCCCCUGUUUGUGAUUUAGAAGAUUAUAACAGCUGUAUUUCAUAUUUGCAUCCUUAUGUAUAUCAAAGACCAAGGUAUUUCCUUCUGCUCCAAAAGAUGAAAAUUGGGAAAGAAAACUCACUUGAGUCUUGAUCAAACAAGUGUCUUUUAAGAAGAAACUUGGUAAUCAUUGUGGCACCCACAGCAAGCAGUUGCCUUACCAGUGAAAAAGGUGCACUGAUGUAACAGCUAAAAAAGAGCUGUGUUCUUAAUGGAACAGUUCUAAUCCUGCCGGGUGUUAUCAUUAUAUAUUUUGUAGUUACCUUUCUAACUACUUAGCACAGUUUGAGAAUAUGUUAAUUGCUAUUUACUAUUUAAAAAGUUUUACUGAAAUCAGUCCAUAAGAUUAAGAUGAGCCCUAAUACGUAAGAUUUUCUUCUGGAAUGGAUGUGAGAAAUGUAAAUUUUAUAACAGCAGUAUUUAUCCUGGUUUAAUUCUAAUAGGAUGUCUGUUAAUUUCAUGUUGUGAUUAAUAAAAGCAUUUUCUUCUU
Non-coding RNA from Macaca mulatta (Rhesus monkey), 1787 nucleotides. NCBI's taxonomy places the organism in Eukaryota, Metazoa, Chordata, Mammalia, Primates, Cercopithecidae. The record is from RefSeq and is a predicted model, not a curated record.